Long non-coding RNA from Clupea harengus (Atlantic herring), 1163 nucleotides. RefSeq lists it as uncharacterized. The record is from RefSeq and is a predicted model, not a curated record. The transcript is spliced from 2 exons. Lineage: Eukaryota; Metazoa; Chordata; Actinopteri; Clupeiformes; Clupeidae.
CACAAGAGGGACUGACAGUACGAGAACUUCAAAAUGAUUUGAAAAGUUGGCAUGAAAAAUUGUUGCUACUCUAAUAUUAAACAUCCAAACAUAUAGACUGAGACCAAAUUAAACCAAACACGACAAAGAAAUCAUUUUAUAAUGCAAUACCCCACAAAGUUCCCUUAAUUCCAUUUUCCUUCCCUUAGUUUAACCCUUGUGUGGAAAUGCACUGGGAGAGAACCAGAGACAUGAUUCUGGGACUGCAACUUAGAGCCUUACAGCUGUAAGCAAGAGACGUCACUUUUCUGUCAGGAAUGACUAAAGGUCUACUCCUUGAAUUAAAGUGCAUAAUAACAACAGUUCUAAAGAACAUAGACAAAUGGAAUAAGUUAAAAAAAAAUUGCAAAAGAGUGCAUUUGAUCAUUUAACGAAAAUAAAUUACAUUAAAAGUAUAUAGAAAUAUACAACAUUUAGGAAGAAGUUAGAACUGCAUAAAAACUAAAUAAAAUAAUUUAAGAAGUAAAUAAAUAGAGUGCAUUUGAUCAGUUAACAGAAAACACUUGAGAACAGUUUGGUCUUCAAUCUAGAUUUGAAACUGGCUAGGAAGUUGGUUCCAGAGCGAAGCAGCAUAGCAGCUAAAAGCUGCUUCAGGAUGUUAAUUUCAGACUGUAGGUUUUACCAACAGAUUUUCCUCUAGAGAUUUGAGAGGUCUUGCAGGUGUGUACUGCUGAAACAUAUCUGACAGGGAAUUUGGUCCUGUCCCAUUUAGUGACUUAUAAACAGGUAUUGGAGUAAUACGGUUUUUGUACAAGCUGAAGCCUGUAAAUCUGAUGUCAGUGGAAGAGCAAGUACAUCCAGUCUCUCCACAGUCUACGUGCAUUUACACCUGUAAAGUGAGAUGACCAAGCCAGGCGGUGUCCUCAUCUCCAGAGCAGACCAGCGGUGGGUAGGCCAUACACUGCUGUUCAGAGUGUUCCAUCUGAGAAGAGUGAAAUGCAGAUAGCCUGCUGAGGAGUCCGUGGAACGUGAGUCUGCAGAGCAACACCCAGAUGACCCAGCAACAGAAUAUCGGCAUCUGAUACAAAUGAAAGAGGAGAUACUGGCAGAGGAGUGAGAAGAAAGGGAGUACCAACAGCAGAAGUUCAGUUAAUGGUCACAAAUAAAAUAAAUAUUUCAUGAGA